Limanda limanda (common dab) is the source of this 64-nucleotide small nucleolar RNA. NCBI's taxonomy places the organism in Eukaryota, Metazoa, Chordata, Actinopteri, Pleuronectiformes, Pleuronectidae. The record is from RefSeq and is a predicted model, not a curated record.
UGUGAGUGAUGACAAGUUUCUUCCUGAUAUGACUGAGGGUAAAAUGAUUUAAUGAGCCUGACAC